CAAGGUGCCAGAUAUCAUAGAAGCCAGGAGAGUUCCAAACGUGGACAUCAUUUCCCAGACAGACACCACACUCUAAGCUCCUUAAGGGCAGUAACUGUGUCCUGUUCUUUGCUAUAUCCCUAGAGCCUAGCACAGUGCCUGAAACACAUUUGCCAUCGCAAAGCAACCUCAGAAAGGUCGGAAGUAGGCUGCCCUUCAGCCUGUUGCCCCGUCCCAGCAGCCCUGGGGUCCACAUAGUUCUGUGUGGGCCAUCUCCUUUCCCUUAGUUCUGUCUUAGGCAGGUGGCACACCAUGGGCCUUCUUGGGGUCCUGCUUCCUCUGACCUCCCUUCAAUUUCAGGAUGAGUUCUCUUUUGAAAGUGUUUUUAUAUUUUUAGUCUCAUGAUUCCUUCUUCAAAGAGGAACCUAGACUGUAUGAGGAAGUGAGACCAUCUUUCCCAGGGAGUAAAUUCACAGUACACAGAAAAGCUCUCUGUCACCAGUUUUUUUAGUGUGUGUGUGUGUGUGUGUGUGUGUGUGUGUGUGUGUGUGUGUGUGUUUUGGUCUCUAGAAAGAGUCUUCUAUCAGACCAUGGCUGAUAGGGUGGUAGGGGCUGGGAAACAGGCAGGAGCCGGCCCUAAUGCUCGUGGUGUUCCAUGAUUUUGGUAUACUUGUCUUUCAGUUCGGCCUGUGUUCUGCUUUCCUUGGACCUGAUUCUAACCACAGAAGUUUCCAGAAGAAAACCUAGGGCCGUGACGCAUAGAUGUUGCCAAUUUCACAAACUACUACUUCAGCUCAUAUUCUCGAAACACCUCCAGGACACAAGUAAUACAAAACUCCAGGGGUCAAAGGUGAAAAGCUGAUCUUCUUUCAAGAUUGGGGAAGGUCUCUACCUCCGAGACACUCUGCUUUAGAGAAGACGGGGACUCCAUUGCUUCACAAUGUGACUAUUUCAGGCAGUAUGACAAGCCAGUGGGGCCCUCUGGCAUUUGGGGUUCCCUCAAAUGACCUAGAGAUCUGGCUAGUUCCAAUUCAGAGGAUGGUUUAGAUGCAGGGCUGGGUUUUCUAGGACUCCUAAAGGGACCCACUUGGGGUCAGUACACGGCUUUGUGGGUCUGUGGGCACUCAAGACCCCAGAGCUCUGGCUCUUGUCUCACCACUGAUCCUGAGACAUUGUGACUGCGACUCCUAGGACUUCUUCGAGUAGAGGUUUAAUUCCACAGUUCUCAAAAAAAAAAAAAGGCAUUUCUUAGAAAUUCAAGUCCAUAUCGGGAAUGAUAACAGGAUGGCAGCCUCCCAAGGUUUGCAAGCUGUGCAGGAUUUAGCUGCAAAAAAAAUAAACAAAUAAAGGAAUCCA
This 1335-nucleotide long non-coding RNA is filed under the name Ursus maritimus (polar bear). RNAcentral's name for it is "lncRNA (ENSUMAG00000012101.1)". The record is from RNAcentral. Lineage: Eukaryota; Metazoa; Chordata; Mammalia; Carnivora; Ursidae.